This 300-nucleotide long non-coding RNA is filed under the name Manihot esculenta (cassava). RNAcentral describes it as "long non-coding RNA (MESC_LNC002444)". The record is from RNAcentral. Lineage: Eukaryota; Viridiplantae; Streptophyta; Magnoliopsida; Malpighiales; Euphorbiaceae.
CAUGAUCCUUUGGUGAAUGGUGUGGGCUCUGUGGUUCAACACCAGCAUCCCAAAAGCCUUUCAUAGCCCAGAGAUGCUGAAAUUGAGAUACAUUUCAAGCAAUCUGAUGAAGAAGGUUUGGAGCGGUUGACUCCUGUGGACAAGCUUGAUUCUUCGGUCUAUAGCGAGGAAGAUUACCAAGUCCAAUUCAAUAAAGGCCAUAACAUUUCCAGCUCUUCAUCUGCAAUGCCCUCUGACAAGGUUUCAGGGAAGAGAAGUAAAGUCACCGAGUCUCCCCGGGAGAAAGAGGUCCAGCUCCCC